GAUGAACGCUGGCGGCGUGCCUAAUACAUGCAAGUCGAGCGAACGGACGAGAAGCUUGCUUCUCUGAUGUUAGCGGCGGACGGGUGAGUAACACGUGGAUAACCUACCUAUAAGACUGGGAUAACUUCGGGAAACCGGAGCUAAUACCGGAUAAUAUUUUGAACCGCAUGGUUCAAAAGUAAAAGACGGUCUUGCUGUCACUUAUAGAUGGAUCCGCGCUGCAUUAGCUAGUUGGUAAGGUAACGGCUUACCAAGGCAACGAUGCAUAGCCGACCUGAGAGGGUGAUCGGCCACACUGGAACUGAGACACGGUCCAGACUCCUACGGGAGGCAGCAGUAGGGAAUCUUCCGCAAUGGGCGAAAGCCUGACGAAGCAACGCCGCGUGAGUGAUGAAGGUCUUCGGAUCGUAAAACUCUGUUAUUAGGGAAGAAUAUAUGUGUAAGUAACUGUGCACAUCUUGACGGUACCUAAUCAGAAAGCCACGGCUAACUACGUGCCAGCAGCCGCAGUAAUACGUAGGUGGCAAGCGUUAUCCGGAAUUAUUGGGCGUAAAGCGCGCGUAGGCGGUUUUUUAAGUCUGAUGUGAAAGCCCACGGCUCAACCGUGGAGGGUCAUUGGAAACUGGAAAACUUGAGUGCAGAAGAGGAAAGUGGAAUUCCAUGUGUAGCGGUGAAAUGCGCAGAGAUAUGGAGGAACACCAGUGGCGAAGGCGACUUUCUGGUCUGUAACUGACGCUGAUGUGCGAAAGCGUGGGGAUCAAACAGGAUUAGAUACCCUGGUAGUCCACGCCGUAAACGAUGAGUGCUAAGUGUUAGGGGGUUUCCGCCCCUUAGUGCUGCAGCUAACGCAUUAAGCACUCCGCCUGGGGAGUACGACCGCAAGGUUGAAACUCAAAGGAAUUGACGGGGACCCGCACAAGCGGUGGAGCAUGUGGUUUAAUUCGAAGCAACGCGAAGAACCUUACCAAAUCUUGACAUCCUUUGACAACUCUAGAGAUAGAGCCUUCCCCUUCGGGGGACAAAGUGACAGGUGGUGCAUGGUUGUCGUCAGCUCGUGUCGUGAGAUGUUGGGUUAAGUCCCGCAACGAGCGCAACCCUUAAGCUUAGUUGCCAUCAUUAAGUUGGGCACUCUAAGUUGACUGCCGGUGACAAACCGGAGGAAGGUGGGGAUGACGUCAAAUCAUCAUGCCCCUUAUGAUUUGGGCUACACACGUGCUACAAUGGACAAUACAAAGGGCAGCGAAACCGUGAGGUCAAGCAAAUCCCAUAAAGUUGUUCUCAGUUCGGAUUGUAGUCUGCAACUCGACUACAUGAAGCUGGAAUCGCUAGUAAUCGUAGAUCAGCAUGCUACGGUGAAUACGUUCCCGGGUCU
This 1372-nucleotide ribosomal RNA is filed under the name uncultured bacterium. Its description in RNAcentral is "bacterial SSU rRNA". It matches the Rfam family "Bacterial small subunit ribosomal RNA", at positions 28 to 1381 of the family's 1533-position model. The record is from RNAcentral.